Molecule: ribosomal RNA, 304 nt
Filed under: uncultured bacterium
Lineage: Bacteria
Description: partial 16S ribosomal RNA
Rfam family: Bacterial small subunit ribosomal RNA
Source: RNAcentral
CAGCAGCCGCCGCGGUAAAACGGAGGGAGCUAGCGUUAUCCGGAAUUACUGGGCGUAAAGCGCACGUAGGCGGCUUUGUAAGUUAGAGGUGAAAGCCUGGAGCUAAACUCCAGAAUUGCCUUUAAGACUGCAUCGCUUGAAUCCAGGAGAGGUGAGUGGAAUUCCGAGUGUAGAGGUGAAAUUCGUAGAUAUUCGGAAGAACACCAGUGGCGAAGGCGGCUCACUGGACUGGUAUUGACGCUGAGGUGCGAAAGCGUGGGGAGCAAACAGGAUUAGAUACCCCUGUAGUCCCUGUCUCUUAUAC